AUUGAACGCUGGCGGCGGGCCUAACACAUGCAAGUCGAGCGGAUGAAGGGAGCUUGCUCCUGGAUUCAGCGGCGGACGGGUGAGUAAUGCCUAGGAAUCUGCCUGGUAGUGGGGGAUAACGUCCGGAAACGGGCGCUAAUACCGCAUACGUCCUGAGGGAGAAAGUGGGGGAUCUUCGGACCUCACGCUAUCAGAUGAGCCUAGGUCGGAUUAGCUAGUUGGUGGGGUAAAGGCCUACCAAGGCGACGAUCCGUAACUGGUCUGAGAGGAUGAUCAGUCACACUGGAACUGAGACACGGUCCAGACUCCUACGGGAGGCAGCAGUGGGGAAUAUUGGACAAUGGGCGAAAGCCUGAUCCAGCCAUGCCGCGUGUGUGAAGAAGGUCUUCGGAUUGUAAAGCACUUUAAGUAGGGAGGAAGGGCAGUAAGUUAAUACCUUGCUGUUUUGACGUUACCAACAGAAUAAGCACCGGCUAACUUCGUG
Molecule: ribosomal RNA, 484 nt
Filed under: uncultured bacterium
Lineage: Bacteria
Description: partial 16S ribosomal RNA
Rfam family: Bacterial small subunit ribosomal RNA
Source: RNAcentral